GUUUGAUGCAAGUCAACUUAGGGUUGUGGGGUUCUAUGUGGUUUAUAAAGACUAAUAAACUCUAUCUUUCCUAAGGUAAUUAUCUUUGAAAAGUUUGUUAGGGGCUAAGAUCCAACAACUGGUAUCAAAGCGAGAUUGUAGGUUCGAAAUCCGACAGACCUUUCGAGUGUCGUUAGGGGGGAGAUUAUUGGUCAUGUGCCAGCACACACACGGUGGGACCUA
This 222-nucleotide long non-coding RNA is filed under the name Elaeis guineensis (African oil palm). RNAcentral's name for it is "long non-coding RNA (EGUI_LNC041016)". Lineage: Eukaryota; Viridiplantae; Streptophyta; Magnoliopsida; Arecales; Arecaceae. The record is from RNAcentral.